This 2761-nucleotide small RNA is filed under the name Pongo abelii (Sumatran orangutan). RNAcentral describes it as "retained intron". The record is from RNAcentral. Lineage: Eukaryota; Metazoa; Chordata; Mammalia; Primates; Hominidae.
AUGUCUCAGGAGAGGCCCACGUUCUACCGGCAGGAGCUGAACAAGACAAUCUGGGAGGUGCCCGAGCGUUACCAGAACCUGUCUCCAGUGGGCUCCGGCGCCUAUGGCUCUGUGUGUGCUGCUUUUGACACAAAAACGGGGUUACGUGUGGCAGUGAAGAAGCUCUCCAGACCAUUUCAGUCCAUCAUUCAUGCCAAAAGAACCUACAGAGAACUGCGGUUACUUAAACAUAUGAAACAUGAAAAUGUGAUUGGUCUGUUGGAUGUUUUUACACCUGCAAGGUCUCUGGAGGAAUUCAGUGAUGUGUAUUUGGUGACCCAUCUCAUGGGGGCAGAUCUGAACAACAUUGUGAAAUGUCAGAAGCUCACAGAUGACCAUGUUCAGUUCCUUAUCUACCAAAUUCUCCGAGGUCUAAAGUAUAUACAUUCAGCUGACAUAAUUCACAGGGACCUAAAACCUAGUAAUCUAGCUGUGAAUGAAGACUGUGAGCUGAAGAUUCUGGAUUUUGGACUGGCUCGGCACACAGAUGAUGAAAUGACAGGCUACGUGGCCACUAGGUGGUACAGGGCUCCUGAGAUCAUGCUGAACUGGAUGCAUUACAACCAGACAGUUGAUAUUUGGUCAGUGGGAUGCAUAAUGGCCGAGCUGUUGACUGGAAGAACAUUGUUUCCUGGUACAGACCAUAUUGAUCAGUUGAAGCUCAUUUUAAGACUCGUUGGAACCCCAGGGGCUGAGCUUUUGAAGAAAAUCUCCUCAGAGUCUGUGAGUUGAUGCUUUGUAAUUAUCUGCCCUGUUGGGAGCCUCUGCCACUUACCUUCUACCAAUCUGUACUUUGACCUGGGUAUGUUUGUAAGCAUACAUGCCCUUUGUGUGCUGACUUACGGGAUGAGUGAGGUGUAAGACAGUGUGAGUGUGUGUGUGCGUGCACGCAUGUGUGCCUGCUUGCAUGCACAAUGUGUUUUUUCUCUAUCUGGGUACACACUAAGAUCAUGGGAGCCUCCAUUAGACAAUAGUAUCCCAGUAAAGCAAUGAGAUUUGAGAUUCUGAUUCAUUCCAAGAGAUUAAUGCAAAAUUUGUGUCUCUGUCCUCAAGCCCUGACUUUCUUCUUUCUCGGAAGUUUCACGUAUGCUCUAGAGCUCUUUUCACUGUUUCUAGUGUUUGUUUUCAGAGCAUGAGCUUCACCAUGUAUUUAGUUUAACUUAAUCACUAAAAGAAUAAAAUGUACAUUGUCUGCACACUGUUGCCCCUUCCCAUAAGUUAUUUUUUGUUGUUUUAGAAUAGAUACUCACAUAUCCUAUGUAAAAUGUUUGUUCCCAACAGAGGGACCUUUCUACCCAGUCCCUAGACCCCACUCAGAAGAAACAACUUCACUCCUGAUACCUCAGAUACACAGGAACAUGGUUAUAAAUUUUCCUCCUAUUGCCUUGUAAUUAUAAGUUAAAUAACCUGAGACAGAGUUUGGAACUAGUGCUCUCUUGCUUCUAAGCAGGGACUUAGACAGAAGCCAUGGGAAUGUGACUCUGGCUUACUUUUGCUAUGAUUUCCUGCUCUUGGUCAUUUUCUUGGGCCAGAGGCAUGAGAGAAGCCAUGAAAGCCCAGCUUUUCUUCCUUUUUCCCUCGAUCUGCCGCCAGGCAGUUGAACAAAAGAAAAAAGGAGCUAUGGAGCCAAGCUCCAGUUAUGCCUUCCUGGAUUCUCCUCCCAACAUUUAUGACUGAAGGGGCCCUUUGCCCAGUUGGGAAGACGACUGGGUAGCUUGAGGCAAGCAUAAGCAGGUGAGUUGGAACCGUUCGUCAUCUUCCUGACAAAAUAAAGAAUACCAUCAUCUGGUAUGUAUCUGGUACAUUUCUUGAAAGGAUCCCAAAGCCCAGUGUAUUUCUGAACCUCCACUCUGAAUUUAUUUCAUUUACUUAUUUAAGAUAAAGAAGCAAAGCCCAGAAGGGCAGUGACUUUUCCACGUCAUGCACUGAAUCACGUGGCAGAGCUGAGUAUAGAUCUCAGAUGUUCUGAUAGCAUGAUCCAAACUAUAAUCCCAUGUGAUUACACACUAUUUUGAAAGUCAUUGUCAGUGUUACCACAAUGUCAACCUAAAGAGAUAUUUUUUUCCCCUUUAUGAUAUGUAGAAGCUGGAUUAGAGUGAAUCAAAGAUAUCAGGUGAUGCUUAGAAAGAGCAGUACUUUUUUUUUUUAAUUAAUGUUUUUGCUUAGAAACACUGUCUUACAGUAAGAGGACCUAAGGGCAGAGGGAGGAGCUCAAUUAAUAAAUAGUGCUAAUGAGACCAAGCAAAUUCAUUUCCUUCCUGAGAGUGUCUCCUAGCAGCCCUUUCUUAGUCUUCUCUUCCAUCCCAACCAUGUGCCCUAUAGAUAGGUGCUAUUAGUCAUUUGGAAUUGGAUUAGGAAUUCAAACCAAAGUCUAGGUAAAAUAGUCGAUAGUAUUUAUCUGUCAUUAAUCCAUCACUUAUUUUUAAGAAAGAAACACUGAGUGCACAGCCUAAUAAUGGAGGUCCCUCUGUGAAAUGAGGCACAUUAUACAUUUCAACAGCUCUACUGAAAUUGAGUACCGGAAUACGGAACUUAACUCAAAUAAUAUUAUAUUGAGUAUAAGAAAAAGAAAGGUUUUGUUUGUUUGUUUGUUUGUUUCCUACAUAAUUGGGGCAAGUGGAUAAAAGUAGUUUAAACAUCCUAGGGGGUAGACAAGAUUAAUUUGAUGUUCAUGACACAGCCCAAGUACCUGUUUAUCUUAAAAGCACAUGAUGUAUGGGAA